UAGCCUCUCGAUGGUCGUUGUGCUAUAAAACGCGCCGCUCAGCGGGGUAGACCCCGUCGAGCCUAACCCCACACACGUGUCGACACGGUAUCCUGGGUGCUCGCAAGAGUUGGAUAUCGGGACGCGUGGAGGCCUAACC
RNAcentral lists this unclassified non-coding RNA (139 nucleotides) under Stutzerimonas xanthomarina. RNAcentral describes it as "Pseudomonas xanthomarina t44". The stretch from base 52 to 138 matches the Rfam family "t44 RNA". Rfam says of the family: This family consists of a number of bacterial RNA genes of between 135 and 170 bases in length. The t44 gene is found between the map and rpsB genes in all species in the full alignment apart from Shigella flexneri. The function of this RNA is unknown. The record is from RNAcentral. Lineage: Bacteria; Pseudomonadati; Pseudomonadota; Gammaproteobacteria; Pseudomonadales; Pseudomonadaceae.